RNAcentral lists this ribosomal RNA (253 nucleotides) under uncultured bacterium. RNAcentral's name for it is "partial 16S ribosomal RNA". It matches the Rfam family "Bacterial small subunit ribosomal RNA", at positions 524 to 776 of the family's 1533-position model. The record is from RNAcentral.
UACGUAGGGGGCAAGCGUUGUCCGGAUUUAUUGGGCGUAAAGAGCGUGUAGGCGGCCGCACAGGUCCGUUGUGAAAACUGGAGGCUUAACCUCCAGACGUCGAUGGAAACCGUGCGGCUAGAGUCCGGAAGAGGAGAAUGGAAUUCCUGGUGUAGCGGUGAAAUGCGCAGAUAUCAGGAAGAACACCGGUGGCGCAAGCGGAUUGCUGGGCCAUAACUGACACUGAGGAACGAAAGCUAGGGGAGCAAACGGG